RNAcentral lists this unclassified non-coding RNA (397 nucleotides) under fungal sp. RNAcentral describes it as "partial internal transcribed spacer region". The stretch from base 1 to 46 matches the Rfam family "Eukaryotic small subunit ribosomal RNA", at positions 1786 to 1831 of the family's 1831-position model. The record is from RNAcentral. Lineage: Eukaryota; Fungi.
AAGUCGUAACAAGGUUUCCGUAGGUGAACCUGCGGAAGGAUCAUUAACACGUCUUUAUAUCCAAUAUUUAAACAUAACGUGAACUAAAUUUAAUAUUUAUUGUUACUGAGGUUCAGUUCAGUUCAGUUCAGUUCAGUUCAGCUCAUUAACCUGAGUUUGAGUUGAGCUGCGUUGAGUUGAGUUUCAUAACAAUACAAUAUAUCAAUUUUUUAAACCUAUAUCAAAUUGACUUGAGCUAAUGUUUUCGAAUUGUAUCUAACAUUGUGGAGAUUUGCAUUUGAAUUGUAUUGUUGCAAUAACAAUAUAAUCCAAGGGUAAGGCUCUCAUUGUUAUUCAAUUUGAUCUAUCAAUACUUGAAUAUUGAGAACAACUCUUAGCAAUGGAUAUCUUGGUUCUC